RNAcentral lists this ribosomal RNA (606 nucleotides) under Rhodococcus qingshengii. Its description in RNAcentral is "bacterial SSU rRNA". It matches the Rfam family "Bacterial small subunit ribosomal RNA", at positions 46 to 669 of the family's 1533-position model. Lineage: Bacteria; Bacillati; Actinomycetota; Actinomycetes; Mycobacteriales; Nocardiaceae. The record is from RNAcentral.
GCUUAACACAUGCAAGUCGAGCGGUAAGGCCUUUCGGGGUACACGAGCGGCGAACGGGUGAGUAACACGUGGGUGAUCUGCCCUGCACUUCGGGAUAAGCCUGGGAAACUGGGUCUAAUACCGGAUAUGACCUCCUAUCGCAUGGUGGGUGGUGGAAAGAUUUAUCGGUGCAGGAUGGGCCCGCGGCCUAUCAGCUUGUUGGUGGGGUAAUGGCCUACCAAGGCGACGACGGGUAGCCGACCUGAGAGGGUGACCGGCCACACUGGGACUGAGACACGGCCCAGACUCCUACGGGAGGCAGCAGUGGGGAAUAUUGCACAAUGGGCGAAAGCCUGAUGCAGCGACGCCGCGUGAGGGAUGACGGCCUUCGGGUUGUAAACCUCUUUCAGCAGGGACGAAGCGCAAGUGACGGUACCUGCAGAAGAAGCACCGGCUAACUACGUGCCAGCAGCCGCGGUAAUACGUAGGGUGCAAGCGUUGUCCGGAAUUACUGGGCGUAAAGAGUUCGUAGGCGGUUUGUCGCGUCGUUUGUGAAAACCAGCAGCUCAACUGCUGGCUUGCAGGCGAUACGGGCAGACUUGAGUACUGCAGGGGAGACUGGAAUUC